RNAcentral lists this ribosomal RNA (433 nucleotides) under uncultured bacterium. Its description in RNAcentral is "partial 16S ribosomal RNA". It matches the Rfam family "Bacterial small subunit ribosomal RNA", at positions 29 to 506 of the family's 1533-position model. The record is from RNAcentral.
AGCGAACGCUGGCGGCAGGCCUAACACAUGCAAGUCGAACGAACCUUUCGGGGUUAGUGGCGGACGGGUGAGUAACACGUGGGAACGUGCCUUUAGGUUCGGAAUAACUCAGGGAAACUUGUGCUAAUACCGAAUGUGCCCUUCGGGGGAAAGAUUAAUCGCCUUUAGAGCGGCCCGCGUCUGAUUAGCUAGUUGGUUGAGGUAAUGGCUCACCAAGGCGACGAUCAGUAGCUGGUCUGAGAGGAUGAUCAGCCACAUUGGGACUGAGACACGGCCCAAACUUCUACGGGAGGCAGCAGUGGGGAAUCUUGCGCAAUGGGCGAAAGCCUGACGCAGCCAUGCCGCGUGAAUGAUGAAGGUCUUAGGAUUGUAAAAUUCUUUCACCGGGGACGAUAAUGACGGUACCCGGAGAAGAAGCCCCGGCUAACUUCGU